RNAcentral lists this long non-coding RNA (1131 nucleotides) under Betta splendens (Siamese fighting fish). RNAcentral describes it as "lncRNA (ENSBSLG00000009505.1)". The record is from RNAcentral. Lineage: Eukaryota; Metazoa; Chordata; Actinopteri; Anabantiformes; Osphronemidae.
AUGAAACUUUUGAUUCUUUUUACGUUUUUUGGCCACAAGGCACCUACGCGUCGCAGGAUCCGCUGCGGCUCGGUCACCCCUCCCUUCUUCUUCGUCACAGGCCCGUCCCUCGUCCUCCGGGGUCCAGCGCGACCCCAGCUCCCUGUACCUCCCCGUCAGGCGUCCUCCCGGGGUCAGGCGCGACCCCAGCCCCAUGUACCUCCCCGUCCCGCAUCCUCCCGGGGUCAGGCGCGACCCCAGCCCCAUGUACCUCCCCGUCCCGCAUCCUCCCGGGGUCAGGCGCGACCCCAGCUCCCUGUACCUCCCCGUCAGGCGUUCUCCCGGGGUCAGGCGCGACCCCAGCCCCAUGUACCUCCCCGUCCCGCAUCCUCCCGGGGUCAGGCGCGACCCCAGCUCCCUGUACCUCCCCGUCAGGCGUCCUCCCGGGGUCAGGCGCGACCCCAGCCCCAUGUACCUCCCCGUCCCGCAUCCUCCCGGGGUCAGGCGCGACCCCAGCUCCCUGUACCUCCCCGUCAGGCGUUCUCCCGGGGUCAGGCGCGACCCCAGCCCCAUGUACCCCUCCCCGUCCCGCAUCCUCCCGGGGUCAGGCGCGACCCCAGCCCCAUGUACCUCCCCGUCCCGCAUCCUCCCGGGGUCAGGCGCGACCCCAGCUCCCUGUACCUCCCCGUCAGGCGUCCUCCCGGGGUCCGGCGCGACCCCGGCCCACGGAACCUCCCCGUCGGGCGUCCUGCCGGGGUCCGGCGCAACCCCAGCUCCCUGUACCUCCCCGUCAGGCGUCCUCCCGGGGUCAGGCGCGACCCCAGCCCCAUGUACCCCUCCCCGUCCCGCAUCCUCCCGGGGUCAGGCGCGACCCCAGCUCCCUGUACCUCCCCGUCAGGCGUCCUCCCGGGGUCAGGCGCGACCCCGGCCCACGGAACCUCCCCGUCAAGCGUCCUGCCGGGGUCUUGGCGCCGCGUUAGAAACCCAUUCUUUCGUAGCUCUCAUUGUGGCGUUCGUGUGCAGCCUUGUUCAUUGUGGCCAUUUGCUAAAUUUUCGUGCCCAGAGCGAGUCGCUGCGUGUGAAGAGCCAGUGGCAUCGAUGUUUCCACAGCGAGUCACUGAUCAGCGCGCUGCUGUUGGCAGGUUUAGUUGA